Molecule: long non-coding RNA, 4407 nt
Organism: Physeter macrocephalus (sperm whale)
Lineage: Eukaryota; Metazoa; Chordata; Mammalia; Artiodactyla; Physeteridae
Source: Ensembl
GGCCCCGAGGCCCCGCCCCGGAGCCCGCCCCCGUCGUUCCCGCCCCGCCCCCGGCCCGCCUAGCCUUCUCUCGCCCUCCCCGGGCCGCGCGGCCGGAGCUGGCACCGAGGAGCGGCGGCCGCGGCGGCAUCGCGUUCUGGACACGCCAGCGCCCCUCUGGACAGGGCGUCCACGAGCGGGCCCGCCGCGCGCGGAUCUGCCUUCCGCGGUCCGGGGCUGCCCGGGGGGCGUCCGGCGUUCCCCGGGGGGCAUCCGGCGUUCCCCGAGGGCGGGCGUGUCCGCGGGGCCGCAGCCUGUUGCAGUGCGGGGGGCGCCGGGCCGGGGGCGCCGGGAGCCCUGCGGGGGGCCGCGCGGCCCGGCUGCCAGUGCAGAGCAGUUUUCUCCAAGUCUCCGCCUCCGUCUCCUCCGGGCCCACCGCUGCCGGGAGACCGCGUCCGGACCUGCCAAGAAAGGAGUGUCAUGAAAAAGGACACAGAAAAGACACGUCACUGUUGGUGAAAGGGGAGUUUUCUUUCCCAGUUGGUGGUUACUUCAUGAUUGGAAGAGAAGUAUCUAGGUGGCUGAAGAGAUUAGAUGUUCAUAGCUGUACCGAUGAAGCUGAUAAAAGAAGAUGGGAAAAUGCUUUCUCUGGGUCAUAAUAGGCUGAUGAAUGACAACUGAGGAGCAAACUCCAGAGCCUCCAGCCAGAAACUCAGCCUUCCAGCAAGGAAUGCAAGAGAGCAUGCACCUCUGCAUUGGGACCAGGUGCCACAGAUCUAUGAUAGUAGGGUUCAUACUACUGAAGAGAGAAAGUCCUUUUCUUUCUUUCAUUGGUUUUCCUUGUAUAUUGCUGUCCACACCCCUGCUGAGGUUCACUGUAUGCAAAUUAGAAGACACUAUUUUGCUGAUUCUUGCAUAUGCCAGCUCUACUGCCCCCUACUUAUCAAACUGUAGUUAUUAUGGAUAUGCAAGAUAGGUUAUGCCAAUAUGCUGACACUGAAAACAUGUGCUGACCCUCCCAGAAGCCCUCCUCUACGAUAUUGAUAAGUAACUGUGGCCAGAGCUGGGACUUAGAGUCAGAAUUCCUAUACUCACACACUCUAUCAUAUGGUACAAAGCAUAUAUAUCGGACUUUCCAUUACCGUAUCCUCCUGCUCUCACCAGCGAUCCCAGAGGUAACGUCUAUCCUGGAUUUUGUGCUUACUAUCCCCUUGCUCUUCUUUAUAGCUCCACCACAUAUGUCUCUAUCCUUAUCAACAUAUUGUAUAUUUUUGCAUGUUUGUAUACUUUAUGUAAACAGUAACACACUGCAUAUAUUCUUGUGCAACUUGCUUUUCUUUGCUCAAAAUUUUAUCUAAUGCAUGUUGAUGUCUGUAGGUGGACAUCACUUAUUUUCAUUGUGGUAGGUUCCAAUAUAUGCUAUUAUCCGAAAUACCAUACUUUAUGUAUCUUUCAUCUUGUUGGAUUUUGGGAAUAUUUUUAAUUUUUGCAAUUUCAAACUUUAUAUAUAAAACUGUUUAUAGAUGCUGUAUAAUGCACAUAUACAAGAAUUUUGUCAUUGUGUUUUUGUUUGUACCUAGAACCUUCCCACCCAGCCGCACUCCAGCCUAGUAUAUAUAUUGAGGGCUCAAAGCACAUCCUCAACUAUUCUUGGUACCAAAUUAUUAUUUUUACAGAUUGUUUGUACAAAUUGAUACUCUAGCCAUUGUAGAAAAGUUGGUGUUGCUCCAAAAUUUCUCCUGUACUUGACAUUUUCAUACUUUUAGAUGUUUUUCUGUCUAGUGGGGUAAAAGAGUGUUACUUUUUUUUUGCAGUUCUGUUAAUAACAUAGCACACGCGUGCAGCAAGCGCACUCAUGCGCGCACGUGCACACACACACACACAGUAUUCCUUACUUUUUCCAUUUGUGUUUCUUUUGUGAAAUGAAAUCCAUGUUCAUGUCUUUUAUCCAUUUUUCCAUUGCAUUCUUUUUUUUCUCAUUGAUUCAUUGACAUUUAUAGUAUAUUAAUAAUACUAAUCCUUUUUUGGUUAUACUCGUGAAUAACUUCUUGGCUUAUAUUUUCAUGAUCUUUCUACUAUGACUUUUGUGAUAUAUUUUGAUAUGCAGGUGUUCCUAAUUUGAAUGUAAACGAAUAUGUGUUUUUCUUUACUGCUUGUACUUUGUUGCAUCUUAUUAAAGAAUCUUUCUUAAGGUCUUGGCACUGAAGAUGUUCUCCUCUAUUUUCUUCCAAGCAUUUUAAUUUUCUCAUCAUCAUCUAUUGCCGCAAAACAAUAUCACCACAAAUGUAAUGGCUCAGAACAGCACAUGUUCAUCAUCUCACAAUUUCUAUGGUCAGGAAUCCAGGCGUGGCUGAACUGCGUCCUCUGCUCUUCUAUGUGGCUGCAAUGAAGUAGCUGGGCCUGGGAUCUCCUCUGAGAAGCAUCCACUUCCAAGCUCACGUGGUUGUUGGCAAGAUGUAGUUCUUUGUGGGUUGCUGGACUAAAAGCCUCAGUUCUUUUCUGGCUGUUGGCUGGAGACCCUGAGUCACUUGCCAUGUGAGCUUCCCCAUUGGCAGGUAACUUCAUAAAAGCCAAGAUGAGAGAAUCAAUAGAGAAACUGCUAACACAUUACCAUAAUCAUGGAAGUGACACCCAGUCAACUUUGGUGAGAAGCAAGUCAGAGGUCCCCCUACACCCACACCCAAGGGAAAGGGACUUCACAGGGGCAUGAAUCCCAGGAGAUGGAAGCACGGGCUUAUUUUAGAGUGUCCCUGCCACAGAUUUUGUCUUUUAUAUUUAAAUAUUUAAUCUGCUUUAUAUUAAUUGUUAUGUCUAUUCUGAGAUUUUUUUCUCCGUAUAAAUAACCUGCUGUCCUAGACUGAAGAGAUUCAGUACCCUUUUCUUUUCCACUAAUCUUCAAUGCCGUCUUCACUACACAUCAGGUCCUUAUAUUUUGUGUGAGCUGAUUUCUGAGUUCGCUACUGUAUUCUUCUGGCAAAUUCGAUUACCCAGUGACAAAACCGCACUAUCUUAAUUACUAUAGUCAUUUUGUUAGCCUUGAAAUCUGCAAGGCUUUUUCCUUUCUUUUUCUUCAUUUCUUUAGGCUUUGUUCUUCCAUGUGCAUUUAAGAAUUAGUUUCUGUAGUGCCCCAAAGCAAACAACAGUAAAUGUUAAUGGUAAAUGCAUUACAUCAAUUUUGGGAGAAUCGACCGCUUUACAUUAAUCCCUGUUCAUAAGCAUGGUAUAUCUCUGCUUUUAUAUAGUAUUUCUUAAUCCUUUGAUAGAUUUAAGUAUGAGCACUUUAUAUAUUGUUAUUACAGUGGAUGAUAUUUAUUUUUAAUUAUAUGUUCUAACUGAUGAUAGUAUAUAGAAAAUGCAAUUGAUUUUUGUGUAUUUAUAUUGUAUCAGGGAACUUAUAAAUCCUCUUACUAAUUUAAUAAUUUACCUGUAAAUUUUUUCAAAAUACUUAUACAGAUGCUUUUGUAAUCUUCAAGUAAUGAGAAUAUAUUUCCUUCCUUUUAAUCUUAUAACUUUUUAAUGUUCUUACUGGAUUUGUUAGGACGUCCUGUAAAAUACUGAGUGAGUCUGGUAAUGUGAAUAUUCUUGUACUGUUCCUAAUGUGAAUGGAGUGCUUCUACAUUUCACCACUGAGCAAAUGAAUGGAUGCUGUGUGUAUUUCAUAGAUUCACUUUAUCAGGAUAUCGUAUUCCCUUGUACUCCCAGCUGAUAAAUGACUUUUUAUCAUCAAAGCAUGAUGAGAUUUAUUCAAUGCUUUUGCUGAAUUUAUUGUGAUAAUCUUAUGUUUCUUUGCCUUUAUCUGUUAAGGUAGUGUAUUUUGUGAAAAUUUUUUUCUUUUGAGAUUAAACCAAACUUGGCUUGCUGUGAUAAAACCAGCCUGGGAAUGAUUCAUUAUAUUUAUAUUUGUUGCUGGAUUGAGUUUGUUAAUAAUUAAUUUAAGAUGUUUAUAUCAACAUUUGUAAUUGUGAUUUUCUCAUAAUAAACUUGUCUAAUUUUGAAGUCAACAUACUUGUCACAUAAAGUAAGUUAAGGAUGUCCUAUUUUUAUAUUUUAUAGGCGAGUUUGCAUAGGAUUGAAAUGAUCUAAUACAAGAAUGUUUGUUAAAACUCAUUUGUAAAAUCAUCUGAGCAUUCUGUUUUCUUUGUGGGAACAUUUUAACUAAAUAUAAGAUUUUACUUGGUGGUUAUAGGCUUAUAUUACUCGCCUCAUGUAUUUAUUUUGAAGCCUAUUUUGGCAAGUUAUGUUUUUAAAGAAUUUGUCCUGUUUGGUUUUUUUUUAAUUUUUUCACAUUUAUCGACCUAAAUUUGCUCAAAAUGCAUUCUGUUGCCUCUAAUUAUUCAUCCCCUACACAUGUUUUUUCCAUCCCUAAUACUGAGUAUGUGUGCCUUAUUUCUUUCUGUUCCUGGUGGGUUUUGGCUGGUAGAUAUUGAC